ACGAUAUAGUGGCAGACGGGUGAGUAACGCGUGGGAACGUACCCCCUCUCUACGGAAUAGCUCUGGGAAACUGGUGGUAAUACCGUAUACGCCCUCCGGGGGAAAGAUUUAUCGGUGAAAGAUCGGCCCGCGUUGGAUUAGCUAGUUGGUGAGGUAAUGGCUCACAAAGGCGACGAUCCAUAGCUGGUCUGAGAGGAUGAUCAGCCACACUGGGACUGAGACACGGCCCAGACUCCUACGGGAGGCAGCAGUGGGGAAUCUUGCACAAUGGGCGAAAGCCUGAUGCAGCCAUGCCGCGUGAAUGAUGAAGGCCUUAGGGUUGUAAAAUUCUUUCGUCAGGGAUGAUAAUGACCGUACCUGAAGAAGAAGCCCCGGCUAACUUCGUGCCAGCAGCCGCGGUAAUACGAAGGGGGCUAGCGUUGUUCGGAAUUACUGGGCGUAAAGCGCACGUAGGCGGACUUUUAAGUCAGGUGUGAAAUCCCGGGGCUCAACCUCGGAACUGCAUUUGAAACUGGGAGUCUUGAGAUCAGGAGAGGUUAGCGGAAUACCGAGUGUAGAGGUGAAAUUCGUAGAUAUUCGGUGGAACACCAGUGGCGAAGGCGGCCAACUGGACUGAUACUGACGCUGAGGUGCGAAAGUGUGGGGAGCAAACAGGAUUAGAUAUCCUGGUAGUCCACACCGUAAACGAUGAGAGCUAGUUGUUGGCAGGCAUGCCUGUCGGUGACGCAGCUAACGCAUUAAGCUCUCCGCCUGGGGAGUACGGCCGCAAGGUUAAAACUCAAAGAAAUUGACGGGGGCCCGCACAAGCGGUGGAGCAUGU
This 820-nucleotide ribosomal RNA is filed under the name uncultured Alphaproteobacteria bacterium. RNAcentral's name for it is "bacterial SSU rRNA". It matches the Rfam family "Bacterial small subunit ribosomal RNA", at positions 87 to 942 of the family's 1533-position model. Lineage: Bacteria; Pseudomonadati; Pseudomonadota; Alphaproteobacteria. The record is from RNAcentral.